RNAcentral lists this RNase P RNA (218 nucleotides) under Muribaculaceae bacterium. Its description in RNAcentral is "partial RNase P RNA component class A". It matches the Rfam family "Bacterial RNase P class A", at positions 1 to 220 of the family's 367-position model. From Rfam's summary of the family: Ribonuclease P (RNase P) is a ubiquitous endoribonuclease, found in archaea, bacteria and eukarya as well as chloroplasts and mitochondria. Its best characterised activity is the generation of mature 5'-ends of tRNAs by cleaving the 5'-leader elements of precursor-tRNAs. The record is from RNAcentral. Lineage: Bacteria; Pseudomonadati; Bacteroidota; Bacteroidia; Bacteroidales; Muribaculaceae.
UCAGAAGCGCGGUCUGUCGCUUGAGUCUUUUUUACUCAAGAGGAAAGUCCGGGCAACGUAGGGCAGCAUGCUUCCUAACGGGAAGCCGGCGGCGACGCCGGGGAUAAGUGACAGAAAACAACCGCCCGUCCUUUCAACAGGAUGAGGUAAGGGUGAAAAGGCGGGGUAAGAGCCCACCGGUCUUCAUGGCGACAUGAGGAGCCGCACAUCCCAUGUGU